GCUUGCUGGAUGCUGACGAGCGGCGGACGGGUGAGUAAUGCAUAGGAAUCUGCCCGAUAGUGGGGGAUAACCUGGGGAAACCCAGGCUAAUACCGCAUACGUCCUACGGGAGAAAGGGGGCUCCGGCUCCCGCUAUGGGAUGAGCCUAUGUCGGAUUAGCUAGUUGGUGAGGUAACGGCUCACCAAGGCCACGAUCCGUAGCUGGUCUGAGAGGAUGAUCAGCCACAUCGGGACUGAGACACGGCCCGAACUCCUACGGGAGGCAGCAGUGGGGAAUAUUGGACAAUGGGGGAAACCCUGAUCCAGCCAUGCCGCGUGUGUGAAGAAGGCCCUCGGGUUGUAAAGCACUUUCAGCGAGGAAGAACGCCUAGCGGUUAAUACCCGCUAGGAAAGACAUCACUCGCAGAAGAAGCACCGGCUAACUCCGUGCCAGCAGCCGCGGUAAUACGGAGGGUGCAAGCGUUAAUCGGAAUUACUGGGCGUAAAGCGCGCGUAGGUGGCUUGAUAAGCCGGUUGUGAAAGCCCCGGGCUCAACCUGGGAACGGCAUCCGGAACUGUCAAGCUAGAGUGCAGGAGAGGAAGGUAGAAUUCCCGGUGUAGCGGUGAAAUGCGUAGAGAUCGGGAGGAAUACCAGUGGCGAAGGCGGCCUUCUGGACUGACACUGACACUGAGGUGCGAAAGCGUGGGUAGCAAACAGGAUUAGAUACCCUGGUAGUCCACGCCGUAAACGAUGUCGACCAGCCGUUGGGUGCCUAGCGCACUUUGUGGCGAAGUUAACGCGAUAAGUCGACCGCCUGGGGAGUACGGCCGCAAGGUUAAAACUCAAAUGAAUUGACGGGGGCCCGCACAAGCGGUGGAGCAUGUGGUUUAAUUCGAUGCAACGCGAAGAACCUUACCUACUCUUGACAUC
Molecule: ribosomal RNA, 910 nt
Filed under: Halomonas sp. N30(2010)
Lineage: Bacteria; Pseudomonadati; Pseudomonadota; Gammaproteobacteria; Oceanospirillales; Halomonadaceae
Description: bacterial SSU rRNA
Rfam family: Bacterial small subunit ribosomal RNA
Source: RNAcentral